This 74-nucleotide transfer RNA is filed under the name Sphaerodactylus townsendi. RNAcentral's name for it is "tRNA-Val". It matches the Rfam family "tRNA". From Rfam's summary of the family: Transfer RNA (tRNA) molecules are approximately 80 nucleotides in length. The record is from RNAcentral. Lineage: Eukaryota; Metazoa; Chordata; Lepidosauria; Squamata; Sphaerodactylidae.
GGGGGCAAUGGUCCAAUGGUAGAGCAUUUGCUUGACAUGCAGAAGAUUCCCAGGUUCAAUCCCCGGUGUCUCCA